CAGCUUUCAAGCCAGGCACAGCUCACGGAGGAGAUGAAAGCAUGGAGCGGAGCAAACAGCACAGAGCUUGCCCAAGCACUUGUUUAUGAAAGAGCCGCCUGGAAUGCAGGCUAAGUGGAAAGGUGCCACUUGAAAGAUACCUUAAUGCCUAUGAUGCCGUGGACAAUCCAAGCUGUUUCCAGACUCUUCCACCUGGGCCCUUCCAGCCCCGGCCACCUGGAUGAUGUCAGGCAGCACUAAUGGUGCAUGGAGCGUUUUCGGAUAGGCCAUUGACCCCCCUAUGUUAUCCUGGACUGGCCUUUUCCUCUCUGCCUGGGCUAGGCAUCCUGCUGCCUCCGCCCCAGCUCCUGG
This is a long non-coding RNA of Mauremys reevesii (Reeves's turtle), 351 nucleotides long. RefSeq lists it as uncharacterized. The transcript has 3 exons. The record is from RefSeq and is a predicted model, not a curated record. NCBI's taxonomy places the organism in Eukaryota, Metazoa, Chordata, Testudines, Geoemydidae.